Molecule: ribosomal RNA, 119 nt
Filed under: Pteropus alecto (black flying fox)
Lineage: Eukaryota; Metazoa; Chordata; Mammalia; Chiroptera; Pteropodidae
Also listed under: 1 other name
Source: RNAcentral
GUCUAUGGCCAUGCUACCCCGAACAAGCCUAAUCCCGUCUAAUCUCAGAAGCUAAGCAAGGUUGGGCCUGGUUAGUACUUGGAUGGGAGACCACCUAGGAAGACCAGGUGCUGUAGGCA